GGAAUUGUAACUCAACGGUAGAGCAAUCGGCUGUUAACCGAUAGGUUGAAGGUUCGAAUCCUUCUGGUUCCG
This 72-nucleotide transfer RNA is filed under the name Hathewaya proteolytica DSM 3090. It matches the Rfam family "tRNA". Rfam says of the family: Transfer RNA (tRNA) molecules are approximately 80 nucleotides in length. Their secondary structure includes four short double-helical elements and three loops (D, anti-codon, and T loops). Further hydrogen bonds mediate the characteristic L-shaped molecular structure. tRNAs have two regions of fundamental functional importance: the anti-codon, which is responsible for specific mRNA codon recognition, and the 3' end, to which the tRNAs corresponding amino acid is attached (by aminoacyl-tRNA synthetases). tRNAs cope with the degeneracy of the genetic code in two manners: having more than one tRNA (with a specific anti-codon) for a particular amino acid; and 'wobble' base-pairing, i.e. permitting non-standard base-pairing at the 3rd anti-codon position. The record is from Rfam by way of RNAcentral. Lineage: Bacteria; Bacillati; Bacillota; Clostridia; Eubacteriales; Clostridiaceae.